GGACUACUGGGGUUUCUAAUCCCGUUUGCUCCCCUAGCUUUCGCGCCUCAGCGUCAGAAGAGGUCCAGCAGCUCGCUUUCGCCACCGGCGUUCCUUCCAAUAUCAACGCAUUUCACCGCUCCACUGGAAGUUCCAGCUGCCCCUACCUCCCUCCAGCCCAUCAGUAUCCAAGGCACUUUUCCGGUUGAGCCGAAAGAUUUCACCCCGGACUUGAUGAACCGCCUACGCGCCCUUUAAGCCCAGUGAUUCCGAACAACGUUUGCACGGUUCGUCUUACCGCGGCUGCUGGCAC
Molecule: ribosomal RNA, 292 nt
Filed under: uncultured Planctomycetota bacterium
Lineage: Bacteria; Pseudomonadati; Planctomycetota
Description: uncultured planctomycete partial 16S ribosomal RNA
Source: RNAcentral